RNAcentral lists this ribosomal RNA (500 nucleotides) under uncultured bacterium. Its description in RNAcentral is "partial 16S ribosomal RNA". It matches the Rfam family "Bacterial small subunit ribosomal RNA", at positions 30 to 523 of the family's 1533-position model. The record is from RNAcentral.
AUUGAACGCUGGCGGCAUGCUUUACACAUGCAAGUCGAACGGUAACAGGGUGCUUGCACCGCUGACGAGUGGCGAACGGGCGAGUAAUGCGUCGGAACGUGCCGAGUAGUGGGGGAUAACGCAGCGAAAGUUGUGCUAAUACCGCAUACGUACUGAGGUAGAAAGUGGGGGACCUUCGGGCCUCACGCUAUUCGAGCGGCCGACGUCUGAUUAGCUAGUAGGUGAGGUAAAGGCUCACCUAGGCGACGAUCAGUAGCGGGUCUGAGAGGAUGAUCCGCCACACUGGGACUGAGACACGGCCCAGACUCCUACGGGAGGCAGCAGUGGGGAAUUUUGGACAAUGGGCGAAAGCCUGAUCCAGCCAUGCCGCAUGUCUGAAGAAGGCCUUCGGGUUGUAAAGGACUUUUGUCAGGGAGGAAAUCCCUAGUGCUAAUAACACUGGGGGAUGACAGUACCUGAAGAAUAAGCACCGGCUAACUACGUGCCAGCCGCCGCGGUAA